Lingula anatina is the source of this 290-nucleotide long non-coding RNA. The record is from RefSeq and is a predicted model, not a curated record. Lineage: Eukaryota; Metazoa; Brachiopoda; Lingulata; Lingulida; Lingulidae.
CACUCCUUUGACUUAAGACCUGGUUUUCCUGUCCUUUUGUCGGAGUUAUGUCCAAUGGACCUGGAAAUUCUCCGGGAGUAUUGGGAAACAUUCUUGGACGAAGUUCCUCUUCAGAUGGUGAAAUAUAUUGCCACGUGCGUCUGUAUGGCUAUUGGGCACUUGCACCAACGGCACGUAGCCCACUUCGAUAUAAAAACGAACAACGUUUUGAUAAGUGUGCACGGGAUCCCUAAACUAUGUGAUUUGGGGUCCGUUCACCCUCUCAAUGCAGCUGGGGAGAGUACCCACGG